CCUACGGGUGGCAGCAGUGGGGAAUAUUGCACAAUGGGGGGAACCCUGAUGCAGCGACGCCGCGUGGGUGAGGAAGUACUUCGGUAUGUAAAGCCCUAUCAGCAGGGAAGAAAAUGACGGUACCUGACUAAGAAGCCCCGGCUAACUACGGGCCAGGCGCCGCGGUUACACGUAGGGGGCAAGCGUUAUCCGGAUUUACGGGGGGUUAAGGGAGCGUAGACGGCGUGCCAAGUCUGGUGUGAAAGGCCGGGGCUCAACCCCGGGCCUGCAGUGGAAACUGGCAUGCUGGAGUGCGGGAGGGGCAAGCGGAAUUCCUGGUGUAGCGGUGAAAUGCGUAGAUAUUAGGAGGAACACCGGUGGCGAAGGCGGCUUGCUGGACGGUAACUGACGUUGAGGCUCGAAAGUGUGGGGAGCAAACAGGAUUAGAUACCCCUGUAGUC
RNAcentral lists this ribosomal RNA (440 nucleotides) under uncultured bacterium. RNAcentral's name for it is "partial 16S ribosomal RNA". It matches the Rfam family "Bacterial small subunit ribosomal RNA", at positions 338 to 795 of the family's 1533-position model. The record is from RNAcentral.